CGCAGGCACCGCACCCGGCGCUGCCGGCCCUCCUAACUCCCGGGUGAUGGGAACUAGGAAUUAGUUAAUGGGGGUCAGAAUCCCGGGGAAAGCAGUUAGCCCUGUGGUGCUGCCGGGCGUCUCUUGGCAAAGCCUCUUAGGGGUUGUAUCAAAUAGUAAACGAUUUUAAAAUGGAUUCAUUUGGUUAGGGGAGGAGAAUGGCGUGGAUGGAGAGAUGUGGACACCUCGUGAACAAGGAGGUAACAAGGAGGAUUGGAAGGCACAAAGUAAAGAAAAUGAAAAUUAGAAACUUGUGAAAAGGAGCAUUACCCAUUGCAGUUCUUCAAACUUCAGACUUCCUUCUGUCUUGGAAUUACUUGAAAACUAUCAUGAUUUCCACUUUGCUCUUUGAUGUUUGUGUUUUCAUAUUCUCCCUUUUUAAAGCAAAUUCCCAAAAUAUAAAAGCAUCAUUUGCCAGUUUCCUCCUCGACUAUUUUAGAACAGCUAAAUUUCAUGUGUUAGAAGUGCAGAAAUGAAAAUGAAAGAAGAAAAGAGAGACACUUUCAAUGUUUCUAGCACACAACACCUGCCUCUCACAUAUCUUUGGGUUUCUGUCUAUCAUGAACCUGCAGAAUCAGAACCUCAUAAAAAGUCUGACCAAGCAAAAAUUAUGCUAGAAGUGCUUACCUUUGUUGCUGUACACAUGAGCGUUAAUUUAUGGGCAAUUAUCACUGAUACGAAACAAGAAAAUACUCUUCUCAUAGUCCCCCUAAAAGAAAACACUCUUCUCAUAGUCCUCCUAAAAGAAAACCUGCCAAGGAUGUGGAUGUGUCCAGUCCAGUAGGGACUGAAGGAACAUGUGGGAGCAGACACAGAAUUUGUUUGUAAAUUUGAAUAAAAUAUAAGGACAAGAAAGCUAGGUUCUGAGGAAAUGAUCAAGACUUUUAAAAACAAAUACCUGAAUGAUAGGAGGAACCUUGGUUUUUCAGUCUUUAGAUAUCUAUAUCGCUUCACAGGAGUUGCCUGCAAAGAAAUACAAGCCAAAAUAGAUUAAUGUAAUGAAAACAAAGGAAAAUUUAUUUUAGUGUCAGUGGAGAUACCUGUCUUUGGACACGUUGCUUUAAACUUUUGGUUUAGCUAGGAAGUGCUGGGUUGAUUUAAUGAUAAAAUAUAUUUGGGGGAAGAACAGAAUUGGAAUCCAGUUAAGUAGAAGUAGAGACUUAAAGGGAAACUUGGUGAGCCUCAUAUAACCCCAAAUAACAAUGAGAUCAAGCUGGGUUUGAUGCUUAGUGCCAGUGAAACACACAAUGGAUUUCUUUAGUUGAUUGUUAACAGUAUUUGGACAUCUGACUCUCCAGUUUUUUUAUUCUCCCAGGAUUUUAUGUUUUUAUGACUCACUGAAAGGGCACAUGUUUUCCUGUGACAAAAUCCAAACCUUCUAUACUGUCUGUGAGUGAUAAGUUAAUAAUGCAUAUUUAAGUAUAUCCUACACAGAUGCUUAGUAAUGGUAAAAUUGUAUUAAGGUAAACUACACACUUCCUAUUCUGGAAGUUUCCUGCAAAAGGAAAAACUAUUCCAACAAUGUCAAGAAACUUAGGAUUAUGUACAUAUUCAAACAUUGCUAUAAAUCAAUUUCUAAUCACUAAACGUAAAGCCAUCAUCGGGUUUAUAGAAUUUUAUUUUUUUUAAUGAGGGCUUCUUUGGGCAUAUGCAGUGAUGUAUGUCCGAUUACUAUAAAAAGUACAUCUGUAAAUGAGAACACGUGGACACAGGGAGGGGAACAUCACAUACUGGGGCCUGCGGGGGUGGGGGGAAGAGGGCUGGGGGACAAGGGGAGGGAGAGCAUUAGGACCAAUACCUAAUGCAUGCAGGGACUUAAAAUCUAGAUUAUGGGUUGAUAGGUGCAGCAAACCGCCACAGCACAUGUUGAAACAAACCUGCACAUUCUGCACACGUAUAUCCCAGAACUUAAAAUGUAAAAAAAAGUAUAAAACAAUUUUUAAAAGUACAUCUGUUAAAAAAAAAAAAAGACGCUCUCUAUAUACCCUGGAACUCUUAAAAAUUUUGGUUGUGUGUUUGUACUGUAGCCUUCAAGAGCUGACUUACACUUGAUCACAGAGCAUUUCUGAAAAUAUUUCUCACUGUGAAAAAUAUCAUUUUUAAAAAGAAAAGAAACACCCAAGGACAACCUCAUACAAUCCAAAGACCAACUGUUCAUACUCACAGUUGCCUAGAUAACAGAAUUGUAUUUGUUCAGCAUUUUGCUUAGUUUUGCAGGAAAAAGAAAGCAAUUUCGAUUUGUACUCAGCUUUGCGAAGGCAUAACUAAUGCCAAAUAUCCUUAGCUGUACUCUUCUAGCACUCUUUUAACUUAAAUAAAUUCAAGAGGCACUUGUGUGGUCUAAAA
Homo sapiens (human) is the source of this 2385-nucleotide long non-coding RNA. RefSeq lists it as uncharacterized. NCBI's taxonomy places the organism in Eukaryota, Metazoa, Chordata, Mammalia, Primates, Hominidae. The record is from RefSeq and is a predicted model, not a curated record. The transcript is spliced from 2 exons.